This 227-nucleotide ribosomal RNA is filed under the name uncultured bacterium. RNAcentral describes it as "partial 16S ribosomal RNA". It matches the Rfam family "Bacterial small subunit ribosomal RNA", at positions 1274 to 1500 of the family's 1533-position model. The record is from RNAcentral.
CCUAAAAGACCAUCCCAGUUCGGAUUGCAGGCUGAAACCCGCCUGUAUGAAGUUGGAAUCGCUAGUAAUCGCGGAUCAGCAUGCCGCGGUGAAUACGUUCCCGGGCCUUGUACACACCGCCCGUCACACCAUGAGAGUCGGGAACACCCGAAGUCCGUAGCCUAACCGCAAGGGGGGCGCGGCCGAAGGUGGGUUCGAUAAUUGGGGUGAAGUCGUAACAAGGUACC